GACGAACGCUGGCGGCGUGCUUAACACAUGCAAGUCGAACGAUGAUCAGGAGCUUGCUCCUGUGAUUAGUGGCGAACGGGUGAGUAACACGUGAGUAACCUGCCCCUGACUCUGGGAUAAGCGUUGGAAACGACGUCUAAUACUGGAUACGACUGCCGGCCGCAUGGUCUGGUGGUGGAAAGAUUUUUUGGUUGGGGAUGGACUCGCGGCCCAUCAGCUUGUUGGUGAGGUAAUGGCUCACCAAGGCGACGACGGGUAGCCGGCCUGAGAGGGUAACCGGCCACACUGGGACUGAGACACGGCCCAGACUCCUACGGGAGGCAGCAGUGGGGAAUAUUGCACAAGGGGCGAAAGCCUGAUGCAGCAACGCCGCGUGAGGGAUGACGGCCUUCGGGCUGUAAACCUCUUUUAGUAGGGAAGAAGCGAAAGUGACGGUACCUGCAGAAAAAGCACCGGCUAACUACGUGCCAGCAGCCGCGGUAA
This 483-nucleotide ribosomal RNA is filed under the name uncultured bacterium. RNAcentral describes it as "partial 16S ribosomal RNA". It matches the Rfam family "Bacterial small subunit ribosomal RNA", at positions 28 to 523 of the family's 1533-position model. The record is from RNAcentral.